GAUGAAGAACGUAGCGAAAUGAGAUAAGUAAUGUGAAUUGCAGAAUUCCGUGAAUCAUCGAAUCUUUGAACGCACAUUGCGCCCCCUGGCAUUCCGGGGGGCAUGCCUGUCCGAGCGUCAUUUCUGCCCUCCAGCCCGGCUGGGUGUUGGGCGCUGUCCCCCCGGGGACACGCCCCAAAGGCAGUGGCGGCGCCGCGUCGGGUCCUCGAGCGUAUGGGGCUUUGUCACCCGCUCGGGACGGACUCGUCGGCGCUGGUCUUCCUCCAGGCGACCCUUCGGGGCUCGUCUUCCUUCGGUUGACCUCGGAUCAGGUAGGGUUACCCGCUGAACUUAAGCAUAUCAAUAAGCGGAGGA
This 354-nucleotide unclassified non-coding RNA is filed under the name soil metagenome. Its description in RNAcentral is "partial contains 5.8S ribosomal RNA, internal transcribed spacer 2, and large subunit ribosomal RNA". The stretch from base 1 to 120 matches the Rfam family "5.8S ribosomal RNA", at positions 35 to 154 of the family's 154-position model. The record is from RNAcentral.